AGCGAACGCUGGCGGCAGGCUUAACACAUGCAAGUCGAGCGCCGUAGCAAUACGGAGCGGCAGACGGGUGAGUAACACGUGGGAACGUACCUUUUGGUUCGGAACAACACAGGGAAACUUGUGCUAAUACCGGAUAAGCCCUUACGGGGAAAGAUUUAUCGCCGAAAGAUCGGCCCGCGUCUGAUCAGCUAGUUGGUGAGGUAACGGCUCACCAAGGCGACGAUCAGUAGCUGGUCUGAGAGGAUGAUCAGCCACACUGGGACUGAGACACGGCCCAGACUCCUACGGGAGGCAGCAGUGGGAAUAUUGGACAAUGGGCGCAAGCCUGAUCCAGCCAUGCCGCGUGAGUGAUGAAGGCCCUAGGGUUGUAAAGCUCUUUUGUGCGGGAAGAUAAUGACUGUACCGCAAGAAUAAGCCCCGGCUAACUUCGUGCCAGCCGCCGCAGUAA
This 448-nucleotide ribosomal RNA is filed under the name uncultured bacterium. RNAcentral's name for it is "partial 16S ribosomal RNA". It matches the Rfam family "Bacterial small subunit ribosomal RNA", at positions 29 to 523 of the family's 1533-position model. The record is from RNAcentral.